GUUUGUAAAUUAUAAUUACAAGUCAUUACAAAUAAGGCUAAAUCAUGUAGGGAAGCACUGUAGCUUUCAUUACAAAACACUGUGAAUUGCUACAGUGUUUCCAACAUGAUUUUUUUUCCUUUUUUUGGUGUUUUUUUUCUUCUAAAAUUGUCUCUGUCGAUUUUUUUUUAAUAUUGAACUGAUUAAGAAUUUAGCUUUGUAAUUUUUUUCUUUAAAACAUUGUGAGUUGUUGCAGUGUUUUCCCAUGUGAUUUUUUUAUGAUUUUUUCCAAAAUUAUCUUUGUCAAUUUUUUUUGAAUAUUGAGU
This 305-nucleotide long non-coding RNA is filed under the name Populus trichocarpa (black cottonwood). RNAcentral describes it as "long non-coding RNA (PTRI_LNC001126)". The record is from RNAcentral. Lineage: Eukaryota; Viridiplantae; Streptophyta; Magnoliopsida; Malpighiales; Salicaceae.